Molecule: unclassified non-coding RNA, 3962 nt
Filed under: Amphimedon queenslandica
Lineage: Eukaryota; Metazoa; Porifera; Demospongiae; Haplosclerida; Niphatidae
Description: uncharacterized LOC109588134, transcript variant X1
Source: RNAcentral
GCACAAAAAGUACAAAAUGGUUCUUUCCAUUUUGUUUCUUUUUCUUUAAUUGUAUUACCUGCCAAUGGAUACGACCAAAAAGGGAGGGAGAAAAGUGCUGUGAUUAUGACAACAAAUGCUGCGAGGAGGAGUUCAAAAAAGCUCGUUGCUGUGCCAUGCGUAGUUGCAACAAGUGUAAAGGUUCUGUCUGGAUUGGUGGCUGCUAUGAGAAAGGUUACCUUUUUAAGAAAGAUUAUUUAUUUGGCUGUUGUCAAAUUUAUUGUGGCUGCUUCAUAAUGAUUAUAUCUAUUGCAGCAGUUGCCAUCAACAUAUUUCCUCUGGUUAUGUUCAUUGUUGGUUGGGCAACAUGUAGAGAAGGCACUGAAUAUGAAAUAUCUAAAUUAUGCUAUACACUGUACUUCAAUAUAACUGAAACAAAGUUGCCACCACUUGUAUUGAGAAAUGCUGAAGAUAACAAUGUUAAUAAUAGCGAUACUAAAGUAGCAGUUCAAGACUUCAUUGAUGUCAGUAAGAUAUCAUUGUUAUUCUCAACAACAGCUAAUGCAGUAUCUCACGUAUUGUUCAUAUGGGCACUGUGGUGCCUGUAUGUUAAACACUAUAAAAGUUUUAAUAAAAAUUGCUUUUUGAAAAUUCAAAACUUCUCAAAAAACUGAGCUGUGACACUAAAAAUGAAAAAGGUGAACUGCCAUUGGAUCCUUUUAAUGACAAAACUGAAGGCCAAUGCUUGAUAAAAGACAUUGUGUUGUUAACAUGAUGUUACUAUAGCAAUAGUAAUAUUCAUCACUCUUUUGAUGUAUGACUUCUAAAGUAACUUAACAUUAUUCAUGAAAUGCAUUUUAUGAUUCUUGAUGACAUGAUAUUACCAUAACAACAAAAACACACUUAAUAUAAAUGUAGAUCUAAUACAAAUCAGAGCAAAAUUACAUGCUUUUGUAGGUCUAUAUGCUUUGGUAUAUGCGUUGAAGUAUAUCAGCCUACUUGUCAAAGUAUAUUAGCUACUGAUGAGUACAAACACAUUAAGAAACUAAUAUAAAAACAUGUAGACUACCAGUAUUUACUACCUACAUAAUACCAAAUGUACCCUUGGUAUAGUGCACAAACUGCACAUGGCAAUCUUUGAACAAAGGCUGUAAAUAUAUUUUUUUAUUCAUCACUAUAAUACCGACAUUCACAUCACAUCAUUGCAUCUACUAGGUUGUAUAGUUUGCUUCAUAGGGCAUACAGAUCUAUACACUCAUUACGCUCUUGAAUCCAUGUAGUUGUUUACCAUAAAGUCAUGACAGAUCUGAUAAGUAAAUCUAGAUCAAAAUUCAUAGUUAGUGGAUUAUCUUAAUAACACAAUCUAUGCUAUCACAUUUCAACCUUACACCAUGCACACCCCCUUGUAAUAGCUUGUUUUGCUGUUGCUUAUAGCUGCAUUGCUGUAUUAGCCUAGCUCACUUCAUUUAUCAACUUGAACUAUAUCUAACUAAUGACCACAAUGGCUAGUGUAAAAACAUGUUGCAGUAAAUGUCUAGAAGUACUUGUAUGUCUAUUUCAAAUAGCAGCAGGUUUAUGCUGUAUCAUACAUUGCAAUUACUGUUGCACAAAACAACGGGUCUUUCAAUUUUUGUUCUUUCUCAUAAAUUUAUUUACCUGCCAAUGGAUACGACCAAAAAGAAAAGGUGAAAAGUGUUGCUGGGAUCGUACAUCUGUUGACAGUAAGAAAGCCUGCAGCUGCUUUACAACUUUUUGUGGCUGUGUCAUGAUUGGCAUGUCUUUUCUUGCCAUGCUCAUCAACAUGUUUCCUCUGGCUAUGUUCAUUGCUGGUUGGAGUACAUGUCAAAAUGGCAGUGCAUAUAAAAUAUCUGAAUUAUGCUAUACACUGCAUUUCGAUUAUGCCCAUAGUACAAAUAAUAAUGAGUUUCCUGAGCUUGUCUUGAGAGAGUAUAAACCAGAGAAUGAUGUGAAUAAUAGUGAUACUAAACAUUUGAUUCAAGAGUUUGUUGAUCUCAGUAAGAUAUCAUUGUUAUUCUCAACAACAGCUAAUGCAGUAUCUCACGUAUUGUUCAUAUGGGCACUGUGGUGUUUAUUCUGGAAACAUUAUGAAAGUGUUAAUAAAGAAUGCUUGCUGAGAAGUCAUAACUUCAUUAAAAGACUAAGCUGUGCUGCUGGAACAGAAGAUGAAUUUCCAUUAGAUCCUUUCAAUGAUGAAAUUGAAGAAGGUGAUCUAAUGGAAAUAAAUACAGCAAAACAAGUCAAAGAACUUUAUGAAAAGAAAAAUGCUAAUAGAUUCUUUAGUAAAGAAGUUGAGCGUACUAAUACACCACUGCAAGGUGAACGAUUGUGCCAUUAUGUAACAUGGUUCAUCAUUGGGAUAAUACUAUACAUCAUCACUGUUGGAGUAUUCUUUCAUCUUUACUACGAACAAAAUAAGCAUAGAUCAAUCAAUAAAGAAUUUAAAUUGGAAAUUUCUGCUCUUGUAUUGUAUGCUUAUUCAUUGUUUCAAGUUUUGGUCAGUUGCUUCAUAUUCUCAAAGUUGAUGUAUGGAAUACAGAGAAGAUGUGAAGAAUUAGAACUAUUUGUGUAUCAUAUUAAUGAAGAGUAUCGUGAUGAAAAUCAUUAUAUUGAGACUCAUACAGAAGAUACUGAGGAACAAGAAGAUAAUACUCAUACAUGUAGUACUCAAACAGAAAUAAAAAUGCAAAAUAUGGGAGAUGAUCUUGACAAAAUUGCGAAAGACAAAGAGAAUCUCAAAGAAUGUGACAGACAUUUCAUUGAUACAGCAGUAUCCACACUUAGCUGGCUUCAGUUAUGGUUCCUACUCCACUGGAUACUCCAUAUAAUAUCAACCUUUAUGAUAAUGUCACUACUGAUUGAUGCUAUUGCACUUCACGUUAAAUCAAGAAUAUCUCACAUUGAGCAUGGGGUUGGGUUUCAUCCUGGAGAGAUUGGGUUUCUCUUCAUGUUCAGUGUACUACAUUGCUUCUUUCUGUUUUAUCCUUGCUUGAGAGCUGCUAGUGUUACCAGGACAAGACAACGUGUUAUAAGAAAGAUCAGUGAAAAAGCAAGCAAUGAAUAUAAGUAUAUUCCAAAUAAGGUUAUGCAGGAAUUCAUUGAGUCUAUGAAGAGAAGGAAGUUUAGUUUCAGGUUGCGUAUAUUGUGUGCUAGAAUUCCUUUUAAUCUAAACAUAGCUUAUGUAUCUAUCGCCUUUGGUUUUGUUGGUGUAAUAGUUUCUUUAAUUACUACUGUUACUAAGUAACAUAACUACAGCUGCAUUUUAGGAACUGCAUAAUAUUAUUAUUACUAUUGUUUUUACUAUAAUUGCUGAUAACUGUGUUAUUGCUAGUUACAAGACUUUCAUUAUUAUUUUUUGUUUUUGCUGCUGCUGGUGUCAUUAAAACUACGUUCAUUAGUUGCAAUUCUUUAAUUCAAGUAUGAAUCAACACAAGUUUGCAGAGGCAUAUCCAGGAGGAGGCAUUCCUUCAUCACUGGGCUCUGCUGUAUCAGAAAAUGUAAUGAAAUUUUUAUAUAUUCAGGUUACGUAUAUUGUGUGUUAGGAUUCCUUUUAACCUAAACAUAGCUUAUGUAUCCAUUGCCUUUGGCUUUGUUGGUGUGAUAGUUUCUUUAAUUACUACUGUCACUGAUUAAUUACAUUAUUGCUAGUUAUUAUACACUAACAGUUAAUAUUAUUAUCAUUGUCUUUUGUUGUACUGCUGCUUUACUUAACUUGAACAUUUUUUGGCUGACUGUAUCUACUAUUUUUGCUUGAUUAAUGAUACUUGCUAUUACAUUACCAGUUAUUGCAGAAAAUGUCAGUGAACACAUUGAAUUGAAGGAAGAUGCUUGAUAGAAGACAUUAUUUUGUUGUUUACAUAUAUUAUAAUUGUUAUUAGUAGGAAGGAGUUGUAAUGUUACUAUAGCAAUAGUAAUAUUCAUCACUCUUUUGAUGUAUGACUUCUAAAGUAACUUAACAUUAUUCA